Molecule: non-coding RNA, 650 nt
Organism: Xyrichtys novacula (pearly razorfish)
Lineage: Eukaryota; Metazoa; Chordata; Actinopteri; Labriformes; Labridae
Source: the annotation of a GenBank genome assembly
GUUUUCCUGAUCUAUGCAUAAAACCUUUAUGCUCUGUGUUUCACACACUUUUGUACUACAUGCCUGUAGUCUGUGUUUGAGCUGGACAGCGUGAAAUGUUGUUCUGAGUAGCAGUGAGACUGACUCUUCUGCUCUGUCUAGACUGUCCAAUAUUUAAGUGCACGAUUGUGGCGUCGCCGUACGCUUGUAUUUAAGGCCUUUGGCUGAACCCAGUGUUCGCGAUGCUCCGAGCUGUGGUUUCAAGCCCCUGAAGUCUCUGUAGUCUGCUACGAGGUUCUAGUAACUAUAUGGGAUUCAGAUUUUCCUCCUUUCCCCUGACAGAUUAGCUAUCUGUCACAGGAAACCACUGUAACAGUGGGAGGUUGUUGUUUGACUGAAUUCAGACAAAAUUUGUGUUCACAAAUCGCCGCAUUUGUGAUUUUAAAGUCUGCAGUUGAAUCUGCUGUUGAGGGAUUUGUCACUUUGAUUCUUGUCUCUAUAGUCUGCUACGAGGUUCUAGUAACUAUAUGGGAUUCAGAUUUCCUCCUUUCCCCUGACAGAUUAGCUACCUGUCACAGGAAACCACUGUAACAGUGGGAGGUUGUUGUUUGAUUGAAUUGAGACAAAAUUUGUGUUCACAAAUCGCCGCAUUUGUGAUUUUUAAGUUUGCA